This 498-nucleotide ribosomal RNA is filed under the name uncultured bacterium. RNAcentral describes it as "partial 16S ribosomal RNA". It matches the Rfam family "Bacterial small subunit ribosomal RNA", at positions 28 to 507 of the family's 1533-position model. The record is from RNAcentral.
GAUGAACGCUGGCGGCGUGCCUAAUACAUGCAAGUCGAGCGAACUUUUUGGAGCUUGCUCCCCAAAGUGAGCGGCGGACGGGUGAGUCACACGUGGGUAACCUGCCUGUCAGACUGGGACAACUUCGGGAAACCGAAGCUAACACCGGAUAACAUUGAAGACCCCAUGGCCUUCAAUCAAAAGGUGGCUUUUAGCUACCACUUACACAUGGACCCGCGGCGACUUAGCUAGUUGGGGAGGUGACGGCUCACAACUGCGAGGAGGCGUAGCCGACCUCAGAGGGGGAUCGGCCUCGCUGGUACGAGGGCACGGCCCAGACUCCUGCGGGAGGCAGCCGUAGGGGAUCUUCCGCGAAGGACGAAGGGCGGACGAUUCAACGCCGCGUGAGAGAAUAAGGCCGUCGGGUCGUAAGGCUCUUUUAUUAGUGAAGAACAAAAAUCGUUCGAAUAGGGCGGUACCUUGACGGUACCUAACCAGAAAGCCACGGCUAACUUCGUG